RNAcentral lists this ribosomal RNA (490 nucleotides) under uncultured soil bacterium. RNAcentral's name for it is "bacterial SSU rRNA". It matches the Rfam family "Bacterial small subunit ribosomal RNA", at positions 32 to 497 of the family's 1533-position model. The record is from RNAcentral.
AAUCAACGCUGGCGGCGUGCCUCAGACAUGCAAGUCGAACGCGAAAGCUCCCUUCGGGGAGCAAGUAGAGUGGCGCACGGGUGAGUAACACGUAGGUAAUCUACCUUUGGAUGGGGAAUAACAACCGGAAACGGUUGCUAAUACCGCAUAAUGCAGCGGCACCUAAUGGUGACAGUUGUUAAAGCGGGGGAUCGUAAGACCUCGCGUCUGAAGAGGAGCCUGCGGCAGAUUAGCUAGUUGGUAAGGUAACGGCUUACCAAGGCGAUGAUCUGUAGCCGGCCUGAGAGGGCGGUCGGCCACACUGACACUGACAUACGGGUCAGACUCCUACGGGAGGCAGCAGUCGGGAAUUUUGGGCAAUGGGCGAAAGCCUGACCCAGCAACGCCGCGUGAAGGAUGAAAUCCCUCGGGAUGUAAACUUCGCAAGAACGGGAAGAAUAAGUAAGAGUUAAUAUCUCUUACGAUGACGGUACUGUUUGUAAGCUCCGGC